UACGUAGGGUGCAAGCGUUGUCCGGAUUUAUUGGGCGUAAAGAGCGUGUAGGCGGCCAGGUAGGUCUGCUGUGAAAACUCGAGGCUUAACCUCGAGAUGUCGGCGGAAACCAUCUGGCUAGAGUCCGGAAGAGGAGAGUGGAAUUCCUGGUGUAGCGGUGAAAUGCGCAGAUAUCAGGAAGAACACCCGUGGCGAAGGCGGCUCUCUGGGACGGUACUGACGCUGAGACGCGAAAGCGUGGGGAGCGAACAGG
Molecule: ribosomal RNA, 253 nt
Filed under: uncultured bacterium
Lineage: Bacteria
Description: partial 16S ribosomal RNA
Rfam family: Bacterial small subunit ribosomal RNA
Source: RNAcentral